RNAcentral lists this ribosomal RNA (279 nucleotides) under uncultured bacterium. RNAcentral describes it as "partial 16S ribosomal RNA". It matches the Rfam family "Bacterial small subunit ribosomal RNA", at positions 506 to 784 of the family's 1533-position model. The record is from RNAcentral.
UGCCAGCAGCCGCGGUAAUACGGAGGGUGCAAGCGUUAUCCGGAAUCACUGGGUUUAAAGGGUGCGUAGGUGGCUUAAUAAGUCAGAGGUGAAAGGCCGUAGCUUAACUAUGGGAUUGCCUUUGAAACUGUUGAGCUUGAGUUUGGCUAAGGUAGGCGGAAUGCGUCAUGUAGCGGUGAAAUGCAUAGAUAUGACGUAGAACACCGAUUGCGAAGGCAGCUUACUAGACCAUAACUGACGCUGAGGCACGAAAGCGUGGGUAGCGAACAGGAUUAGAUA